RNAcentral lists this ribosomal RNA (751 nucleotides) under uncultured bacterium. Its description in RNAcentral is "bacterial SSU rRNA". It matches the Rfam family "Bacterial small subunit ribosomal RNA", at positions 33 to 773 of the family's 1533-position model. The record is from RNAcentral.
ACGCUGGCGGCAGGCCUAACACAUGCAAGUCGAGCGGCAGCGGAAAGUAGCUUGCUACUUUGCCGGCGAGCGGCGGACGGGUGAGUAAUGUCUGGGAAACUGCCUGAUGGAGGGGGAUAACUACUGGAAACGGUAGCUAAUACCGCAUGACCUCGCAAGAGCAAAGUGGGGGACCUUCGGGCCUCACGCCAUCGGAUGUGCCCAGAUGGGAUUAGCUAGUAGGUGGGGUAAUGGCUCACCUAGGCGACGAUCCCUAGCUGGUCUGAGAGGAUGACCAGCCACACUGGAACUGAGACACGGUCCAGACUCCUACGGGAGGCAGCAGUGGGGAAUAUUGCACAAUGGGCGCAAGCCUGAUGCAGCCAUGCCGCGUGUGUGAAGAAGGCCUUAGGGUUGUAAAGCACUUUCAGCGAGGAGGAAGGGUUCAGUGUUAAUAGCACUGUACAUUGACGUUACUCGCAGAAGAAGCACCGGCUAACUCCGUGCCAGCAGCCGCGGUAAUACGGAGGGUGCAAGCGUUAAUCGGAAUUACUGGGCGUAAAGCGCACGCAGGCGGUUUGUUAAGUCAGAUGUGAAAUCCCCGAGCUUAACUUGGGAACUGCAUUUGAAACUGCCAAGCUAGAGUCUUGUAGAGGGGGGUAGAAUUCCAGGUGUAGCGGUGAAAUGCGUAGAGAUCUGGAGGAAUACCGGUGGCGAAGGCGGCCCCCUGGACAAAGACUGACGCUCAGGUGCGAAAGCGUGGGGAGCAAAC